Pezoporus occidentalis (night parrot) is the source of this 425-nucleotide long non-coding RNA. RefSeq lists it as uncharacterized. NCBI's taxonomy places the organism in Eukaryota, Metazoa, Chordata, Aves, Psittaciformes, Psittacidae. The record is from RefSeq and is a predicted model, not a curated record. The transcript has 2 exons.
UCGCCGCUGUCGCCGCUGUCGCCGCUGUCCUGUGCGGCCGAGACUGCUGCUGCUGCAGGCCGGGAAACCCAAACCUGCUCCAUCAGGCUGCCAGGUCCAAGCGGCAGAGCUGGAUGUGCCAGUGCAGGCUCCGGGCGUGGAAAGGAAAGAUGCUGGCGAGAGGAAGGUGAACUUGAGGAGCUACAGGUCAUGUAUGUGAGUGGCAAGAGCCCUCUCCUGUCAAGGCGCUGAAAACUUCCAUGGUUUCCAGUGAGUUUGGAUUGAACCAAGCUUGAACCUGCUGCUUCCUGCAGCAUGAACUGCUGUGCUGGUUUUCCAUCUGUCUCAGUAGGGAUUUAACUCUUCCCACCAGCACAUUCUCCGAAUCAUUACUUUUUCCCUCUAUGUACAUUUACACAUAACAAUGAGAACUCAUUUAUACUGAA